AACUUUUAGCAAUGGAUCUCUUGGCUCUCGCAUCGAUGAAGAACGCAGCGAAAUGCGAUAAGUAAUGUGAAUUGCAGAAUUCAGUGAAUCAUCGAAUAUUUGAACGCACCUUGCGCUCCUUGGUAUUCCGAGGAGCAUGCCUGUUUGAGUGUCAUUAAUAUAUCAACCCUCUCAUGUUGAGGGAGCAGUGGGUGGUAUGUGGGGGGUUUGCUGGUCAUAUAAAAAAGGUUCAGCUUCCUUAAAAUGCAUUAGCAGAACAACCUGUUCAUUGUUGUGAUAACUAUCUACGCUAUUGAAUGUGAGGGCAGUUCAGCUUUCUAACUGUCCUUGGACAAUUCUUCAUUUAUGUGUUCUCAAAUCAGGUAGGACUACCCGAUGAACUUAAGCAUAUCAAUAAGCAGAGGCU
RNAcentral lists this unclassified non-coding RNA (406 nucleotides) under uncultured Cortinarius. Its description in RNAcentral is "sequence contains ITS2". The stretch from base 1 to 154 matches the Rfam family "5.8S ribosomal RNA". Lineage: Eukaryota; Fungi; Basidiomycota; Agaricomycetes; Agaricales; Cortinariaceae. The record is from RNAcentral.